Molecule: ribosomal RNA, 413 nt
Filed under: uncultured microorganism
Description: bacterial SSU rRNA
Rfam family: Archaeal small subunit ribosomal RNA
Source: RNAcentral
CAGCAGCCGCGGUAAUACCAGCCCCGCGAGUGGUCGGGACGGUUAUUGGGCCUAAAGCGCCCGUAGCCGGCCUAGCAAGUCUCCGCCGAAAUCCCCGGGCCCAACCCGGGGGCGUGCGGAGAUACUGCUAGGCUAGGGGGCGGGAGAGGCCGGGGGUACUCCCGGGGUAGGGGCGAAAUCCUAUAAUCCCGGGAGGACCACCAGUGGCGAAGGCGCCCGGCUGGAACGCGCCCGACGGUGAGGGGCGAAAGCCGGGGGAGCGAACCGGAUUAGAUACCCGGGUAGUCCCGGCUGUAAACGAUGCGGGCUAGGUGUCGGACGGGCUGAGAGCCCGUCCGGUGCCGCAGGGAAGCCGUUAAGCCCGCCGCCUGGGGAGUACGGCCGCAAGGCUGAAACUUAAAGGAAUUGGCGGG